Molecule: microRNA, 22 nt
Filed under: Sus scrofa (pig)
Lineage: Eukaryota; Metazoa; Chordata; Mammalia; Artiodactyla; Suidae
Description: ssc-miR-9843-3p
Source: miRBase by way of RNAcentral
UCUGUGAACUAGAAACCUCUGG